RNAcentral lists this ribosomal RNA (601 nucleotides) under Triticum aestivum (bread wheat). RNAcentral describes it as "partial small subunit ribosomal RNA". Lineage: Eukaryota; Viridiplantae; Streptophyta; Magnoliopsida; Poales; Poaceae. The record is from RNAcentral.
CACAGCCACUAACAUCUCCUCUAUCUUUCUUCUCUAUCUUCUCACACCAUGCACAUCUCGCUGUCCACCACCGGCCGCCGGAGAAGAGCGGAAGACCGGCGACUUGGGCGGCGCCCUGUGCAGGCAUGUUGUUCAGCCAGCCGGUCGCGACGCUGGCCAAGUUCAACCUCGAGCAUGGCAGUGGCCCGGACAUCUACGGCAUCUUGGAGAUCGACGGCUUCAACUUGCUAUGCGGCUCGCCGGCGUGAUGCGUGUGCGUUGUCCGGCGUUGUACGUACGUGUGUUGUGUUUGCAUGUUGAUGCAUGCAUGCUUGUGUAUUGCCUAUUGAUGUAUGUGUGUGGCUUCGCCGGCGGUAUGCGCGUACAUGCUUUGGAUUAGAAGCUCGCCGCCUGAUGUGUAAAUGUACUGACGAGAUGAGCAACUAGACAACGAUAGAUAGACCCGUCCGUCGUCUUGAGCCCCGCCCCUACCGCAAGCGCGACGAGCUCCGGUCAUGAUCGAGCGUCCCCGGCUGUGUCUUUUUUUUUCUGUAAAAAAGCUUUACCGAGUGCACCAUUCGGACAAACAUUUGUGACACCUGGCAAACUAACUGAUUUCCUC